GUGUAGCUCAGUGGUAGAGUACGUGCCUGGCAUGCACUGGGCCCUGGAUUUGGUUCCCAGCAC
RNAcentral lists this transfer RNA (63 nucleotides) under Marmota marmota marmota (Alpine marmot). It matches the Rfam family "tRNA", at positions 5 to 66 of the family's 71-position model. Rfam says of the family: Transfer RNA (tRNA) molecules are approximately 80 nucleotides in length. Their secondary structure includes four short double-helical elements and three loops (D, anti-codon, and T loops). Lineage: Eukaryota; Metazoa; Chordata; Mammalia; Rodentia; Sciuridae. The record is from Rfam by way of RNAcentral. RNAcentral also lists the same sequence under 3 other names.